GUGUUCACUUUAGCAGCAUGUAUACUAAACUUGGAAAAAUACAGCAAAGACUAGGAUGGCCCCCACAUUAAAAUGACACAAAUUUGUGAAGUGUUCCAUAUUUUU
This is a small nuclear RNA of Dipodomys ordii (Ord's kangaroo rat), 105 nucleotides long. The record is from Ensembl. Lineage: Eukaryota; Metazoa; Chordata; Mammalia; Rodentia; Heteromyidae.